UACGUAGGGGGCGAGCGUUGUCCGGAUUUAUUGGGCGUAAAGCGCGCGCAGGCGGUCUUCCAAGUCAGUGGUGAAAGCCCGGAGCUCAACUCCGGAACUGCCAUUGAAACUGUUGGACUUGAGUACGAGAGAGGUGAGUGGAAUUCCCAGUGUAGAGGUGAAAUUCGUAGAUAUUGGGAAGAACACCGGUGGCGAAGGCGGCUCACUGGCUCGUAACUGACGCUCAGGCGCGACAGCGUGGGGAUCAAACAGG
Molecule: ribosomal RNA, 253 nt
Filed under: uncultured bacterium
Lineage: Bacteria
Description: partial 16S ribosomal RNA
Rfam family: Bacterial small subunit ribosomal RNA
Source: RNAcentral